UGCAGUCGGACGGUAACAGGAAGGAGCUUGCUCUUUUGCUGACGAGUGGCGGACGGGUGAGUAAUGCUUGGGAAUCUGUCUUAGGGAGGGGGAUAACCACGGGAAACUGUGGCUAAUACCGCGUAUAAUCGUAAGAUGAGAGGUGUGGGACUGAAGAGCCACAUGCCCUAAGGUGAGCCCAGGUGAGAUUAGGUAGUCGGUGGGGUAAGGGCCUACCAAGCCGACGAUCUCUAGCUGGUCUGAGAGGAUGACCAGCCACACUGGGACUGAGACACGGCCCAGACUCCUACGGGAGGCAGCAGUGGGGAAUAUUGCGCAAUGGGGGGAACCCUGACGCAGCCAUGCCGCGUGAAUGAAGAAGGCCUUCGGGUUGUAAAGUUCUUUCAGUGGUGAGAAAGGUAAUAAUGUUAAUAGUAUUAUUAAUUGACGUUAGCCACAGAAGAAGCACCGGCUAAUUCCGUGCCAGCAGCCGCGGUAAUACGGAAGGUGCGAGCGUUAAUCGGAAUAACUGGGCGUAAAGGGCACGCAGGCGGUAACUUAAGUGAGGUGUGAAAGCCCAGGGCUUAACCUUGGAGGUGCAUUUCAUACUGGGUUACUAGAGUACUCUAGGGAGGGGUAGAAUUCCACGUGUAGCGGUGAAAUGCGUAGAGAUGUGGAGGAAUACCGAAGGCGAAGGCAGCCCCUUGGGGAGUAACUGACGCUCAUGUGCGAAAGCGUGGGGAGCAAACAG
This 730-nucleotide ribosomal RNA is filed under the name uncultured bacterium. Its description in RNAcentral is "bacterial SSU rRNA". It matches the Rfam family "Bacterial small subunit ribosomal RNA", at positions 56 to 775 of the family's 1533-position model. The record is from RNAcentral.